UACGGAGGUUCCAAGCGUUGUUCGGAAUUACUGGGCGUAAAGGGCGCGCAGGCUGUUAUGCGAGUCUGCUGUGAAAUGUACCGGCUCAACCGGUGCCUUGCGGCGGAUACUGCAUAGCUGGAGUACUGGAGAGGGAAGUGGAAUUCCCGGUGUAGCGGUGAAGUGCGUAGAUAUCGGGAGGAACACCGGUGGCGAAGGCGGCUUUCUGGCCAGUUACUGACGCUCAUGCGCGAAAGCUGGGGUAGCGAACCGGAUUAGAUACCCGGGUA
RNAcentral lists this ribosomal RNA (269 nucleotides) under uncultured prokaryote. RNAcentral describes it as "partial 16S ribosomal RNA". It matches the Rfam family "Bacterial small subunit ribosomal RNA", at positions 524 to 792 of the family's 1533-position model. The record is from RNAcentral.